AAAUUGAAGAGUUUGAUCAUGGCUCAGAUUGAACGCUGGCGGCAGGCCUAACACAUGCAAGUCGAACGGUAACAGAAAGCAGCUUGCUGCUUUGCUGACGAGUGGCGGACGGGUGAGUAAUGUCUGGGAAACUGCCCGAUGGAGGGGGAUAACUACUGGAAACGGUAGCUAAUACCGCAUAACGUCGCAAGACCAAAGAGGGGGAC
This 206-nucleotide ribosomal RNA is filed under the name Escherichia coli. RNAcentral's name for it is "partial 16S ribosomal RNA". It matches the Rfam family "Bacterial small subunit ribosomal RNA", at positions 1 to 214 of the family's 1533-position model. Lineage: Bacteria; Pseudomonadati; Pseudomonadota; Gammaproteobacteria; Enterobacterales; Enterobacteriaceae. The record is from RNAcentral.